UACGGGGGGGGUAAGCGUUGUUCGGAAUUACUGGGCGUAAAGGGCUCGUAGGCGGCCAACUAAGUCAGACGUGAAAUCCCUCGGCUUAACCGGGGAACUGCGUCUGAUACUGGAUGGCUUGAAUCCGGGAGAGGGAUGCGGAAUUCCAGGUGUAGCGGUGAAAUGCGUAGAUAUCUGGAGGAACACCGGUGGCGAAGGCGACAUCCUGGACCGGUAUUGACGCUGAGUGAGCGAAAGCCAGGGGAGCAAACGGG
This 254-nucleotide ribosomal RNA is filed under the name uncultured bacterium. RNAcentral's name for it is "partial 16S ribosomal RNA". It matches the Rfam family "Bacterial small subunit ribosomal RNA", at positions 524 to 776 of the family's 1533-position model. The record is from RNAcentral.